GCCCACUUCGUUACAGAUGGCCUGGACUAGCAUUUUCUUGCCCGUACCCCUGGGGCCUGCCAGAAGGAUGGACUUGGUGAGGGGGGCUUGUUCGUGGACCGCCUGGGAUCCUGCAGGAAGAAAAAUCACAGCAUUGGUUUCAGCCAAUGAAAUUCCAAGAUUUUCAUCAGUGUGCUGUUGCAGUUGUUGUUCCAUCAAUUGCUAUUUACCCAAAGGAUUCUAUAGAUUAUACUUCCGAUUUACAAGCAAUUCAACGUGCCACGUGGUAAUAUUAAUGACGGCCAUUAUAUAUUCAUAAUUGAGUACUACUAUUCAGGAAGGGAGAAAAUGCAACAGACCAGACUGGGAUUCGAACCCAGGCCCCCUGAAUCUCUAGUCAGGUGCUCUACCAACUGAGCUAUAUGGCCACCGGCGAUCGAACCCGGCUGACCGCUACAUUCCUCCCUCCUUAAAUGUCUUCACACUGAAGACAUCAACCCAGGAUCUUUAUCCCCUGGCAGGCAUUUUCACCUAUCAGUUCCAGGGGCUGGUCUACGGCACCAAAUGUAACAGGAAUGGAGAAAAUGCAACGGAUCAGACUGGGAUUCAAACCCGGGCCCCCUGAAUCUCUAGUCAGGUGCUCUACCAACUGAGCUAUCUGGCCACCAGCGAUCGAACCCGGCUGACCGCUACAAUUGUAUAUGUCUUCACACAGCUUGACACUGUGCAAUAAAGAACCAAUAAUUGCAACAUGCAAUAUGAUAUAAAUAAAUUCUGGCCUGUCACUUAGAACAAGGAGGCAGGGAUAAGGUGCUUGACUAAAUGAGAAGACUUUACUUUUGAGAUAAGAGCUCUUCUGUGUAGGAGGUGCAUUUAGUGGAACUUUGAAUACCAAAGAGGGACAGAAUGGACCCAUAGUCAAUGAAAAAGAGGAUAAACUGUAUUAAAAGCGGCUUCUCUUUAAAUAUUUAUGUGUAGGAAAUACAAAAUACCAUAAAAAAAAAAUAGUUUACUAAAGUGGAAACAUAAAAACAAUGUCAUAUUUGCAAUUAAUUUCCUGGAUAUUGUACAUACGAGCAACAUAAUAACAUGAAAUAAUAGGUAUUCCAUGCAUGUAUUUAAUUAUACUCCCUGAAUACUUAUCAUUUAUUUAGUUUGUGUAUCAUUCAAAUUUGGGUCAUGAAACUACAUAUGAAAAACUUACUGAGCAGAUUCACUUGAGCAAUGAUGAAAUUUUUUGUGUAUAACAUUUAAAAUGCGUCCCCCGAUAUGAGCCCGACAGGUGGUAUAAUAGUUAACAAAAAUGUAGUCCAAUACCAUAUAUUACAAUAAUAUUUAGUUUAACUAUAUAACAACAGAUAUUACUCCACAAAAAAUGCAGGCUAGCUGGGUCCCUUUACAAAUGAUAUGUUAAUGGAUUCUGUACUCUUGGAAUCUCAAACCUUAAAUGUCAACAAAUUGUGAGUCAGACAUAUGUCUGACAUUUUAAAUGUUAUACAGCUAAAGACUAGAAAGACACAAGUUUCAACAUUAUUUAUGUGGCAAGUUACAGUUUACAAUAGCUGCAGACUCCUUUGAACUUGAUUUUUCUGGUGUAAAAAGGAUGAAAUGCAAAUCUGAGCAUCACGUAUAGCUCUUUGGUGACCAUCUUAAUUCUACACUUAACGAGGUGAAAACAAUCAAUUAUAUUAUCCUGAAAUAACAGAGGAAUGAGAAGACACACAGACUGACAUGGAAAAACCAAUAGACUCCCAAAAGUUGUAAAUUUUGUGGGAGAGGAUACUGGCAGACUGUACAUAAAGUAUAGAAAUAUCAGAAACAAGAUGAUCGAGUUUGUUUACAUGUAAGACAAUUCCUCCAGUGUUUACAAAGAAACAAAUAAAAGGUCUUGUCAUAGGGAACCUGAAUACAAAAUAUGGAUGCCCUUCUUUGUACCUUAAUCAGUUACAAAAAUACUGUCUAGAUUGCCCAUGCACCAUUAUUUGUUCACUGCUGCUAAAUUACUGAAUCAGAUGUUGUAUGUGUUAGCUGCACGAGUAAUGCAAGUAAGUAAAGAAGCAGGCACAGUUUCUACAGUCACCUGGCCCACAAAAUAGAUGAUUUCAAGAGGAGUCCCAAAAUCUGGUAUUCAAAUAAGGAUUAUAUUAAUGCAAACCAAAACUACAUUUAAUUUGAUCCAAAAUUGUUUCUUGUUGUACGACAGGAGUGUGACGUUUGCAUAAAAUUGCCAAAGAUACCAAAAUCAAUGUAAAAUUCAUAAAUUCAGGGUUUUUUCCUUCAUUCAGAAAACAAUAUACAUCCAAUGAGUCAAGCAAAUAUACCAAUACUAUACAUUUUUUAUCUUCUAUUAAUAAACAUUAUAUAUUAAUUUCAUUUUGCUCGACAGAUGGGCAUACCUCUUCCUAAGCAAUAAUUUUGAUGAAAUUUAUUAGUUUUUAAGCUCUUUUUGAAAAUUAGGCAAAAAAAAGUCUUAUUCAUGAUGUAAUUAAUAAUGCUAUCAAAUAAGCAAUAAUUUUGAUUCAAGUUGAGAUAUAUAGUAUAUUUGGCAUAAAUUUAACAUACUUAAAUCACAGAUCAAGCUUAAUUCAAGACAUAUUUAAAACUGCAGUCAAUUUCUUUGGGUCUUUUUAUGUAUACAAUCAUAUACCCUGUUCUUUAACAUAUAAUUUUGAGUGUUGAAUUUUUAAUAUUUUGUUUUGUUUUUUAGAAUGGCUGAGAAUUUGACAAAUGACAAUAAAGGACUCAGCUACAUUGGGAGUCAGCCUGAUGGUGGGAGUCCACAGAAUUCCAGCAUUAAUACCAAUAUGGUUACUAAUACAGCCUCUAUGAUAGCGCUAGCACCGGAAUAUUUGAUUGUACUGUUGGUGGCAUAUGUAAUCAUUUUCAAGAACACCAUCAAAAAGAUUUGGCAAUGAUGAGCAGAACUAGACAUCUUAUUUUACCCAAGGAUAGUGUGAGAUGUCAUGGAGUACACUAACGAAAGAGCUGCCAAAAAAUAAAUUUCCCCAAAAAAAUUUGGUUUUUUGUCGUUGGUUUUUUUGGUUACAUUGCAAAAAAUUCUGACCAAUAAAAUAUGGUUAAAGAAUUCAUGAGCAAAACAGAAAAUUAUUUUGUAUAAAUACAGGGAAUUAUGUUUUACUGAGAUAUAUUUCUUAUAGACGACAAAUGAUUGGCUUGGGCUAGCUGGUGUCAUGUUGCAGUCUGCAGUAAAAUGGAGUGACAUCAUGCUUAUUAUACAAAUACAAAUGGAGUUUAUCAUUAUUUAGUGGAUUUAUCAGAAUGAUUAAGGGAAUAACACUGCUGCAGUAGUUCCACCGAGAUGAACACUUAUCUGUGUUUAAUGUUUUCUUGGUGAGCAUGCCAUAUGCAUUGCCUAUAUGUCUAUGCAUUAAUUUGCAUUUUGUUAAUAUGAAUAAUACAAAGUUUAUGCUCUUUGCGUAUUCCGUUCUACCAGUAGAUGUUCGGAAAAGGAUUUUUCUGUUUAUUACAUAUUCUUGACAUGAUUCUUGCUGAAAAUACUUGUUUGCACAUGCAAGCAUGUAAAGGAACAGUUUUUUCUUCACAUUUUUGUUUAAAUCAUCCAAAAGUUCUAGGAUGUUUUACAAAUUCAUGAUAAUGUUUCAUUAUGUGUUUUAAAAUUUGAUUUUGUGUGUUUCUCCUUCCCUGUACACUAUCAUUGAAGAUGUGCACCAGUUAAGUCAAGCUAGGAAAUUACUCGGUUGUAUACAAUCACAGUUGGAAUAUAAUAUGUGGGUUAAGUGGAUCUCUGAAAGAAAUAUGGCGGAUAGGAUGAAUUCAUGUCAGCCUUGAGGAAUGCAACACCAGAGAAAUUUGAUAUGGAUGAAAAAUGGGGGAUAUGUACAACAAUAUUUUGAAAUUGAAAACUUUCAAAUUUACUUUUACUUUAUUUGUGCAUGUAGCUACAUAUACCACUAGAAAAUCAAUGCAAAUAACUCACCC
Long non-coding RNA from Ostrea edulis (European flat oyster), 3939 nucleotides. RefSeq lists it as uncharacterized. The record is from RefSeq and is a predicted model, not a curated record. NCBI's taxonomy places the organism in Eukaryota, Metazoa, Mollusca, Bivalvia, Ostreida, Ostreidae. The transcript has 5 exons.